AAUGGGGUUUUGUUUUUAAGAACCUCGAUAAAGGAUGGUUUGGAGAAGAAGGAGAAUGUAUUUUUGCUUCUUCUGAAAAUACACGUUAAGAGGGCUGGAAAGGAGAUUUUUUGUUUAAUUUUUUAAACCCCUUUGACACAUGUCGUGUGAUGAGAGGAGACUUUUUGCAUUUUGAAAUUUCAUAAAAAAUUCUCUCUGCAUCUUAAUCAACCGCCCCAUCCUUUUUUUUCUAAUUUUCGUUUUCAUUUUUUUUCUUUUUAC
Molecule: long non-coding RNA, 261 nt
Filed under: Lathyrus oleraceus (garden pea)
Lineage: Eukaryota; Viridiplantae; Streptophyta; Magnoliopsida; Fabales; Fabaceae
Description: Pisum sativum (pea) long non-coding RNA (PSAT_LNC041644)
Source: RNAcentral